Long non-coding RNA from Vidua macroura (Pin-tailed whydah), 2440 nucleotides. RefSeq lists it as uncharacterized. NCBI's taxonomy places the organism in Eukaryota, Metazoa, Chordata, Aves, Passeriformes, Viduidae. The record is from RefSeq and is a predicted model, not a curated record. The transcript is spliced from 2 exons.
UGUUUACUGUUGCCACACUGAGGGGGAAACCUUUCAAAACAUGUACACAUGAAUCUAGGAAAUUAAAGCAAUAGUGGCAGUAUCUAUACCUCUUCAUUGGCACUUAGUGCAGUACAGUCCAUAAAGUGAGUCCCGUGAUUAUCCAGGCAGGGACUACAUGCCUGUUUUCAUUUCUGUGUAUAUCUGUACUUUUUCCCAUAAUAGACUCUGGAUUUGGCAAAGUACGAACCCACACUUAGUAAGUGGGAUGUGUUUUUAAGUUUCCUGGUAUAGACCAGCAUUGUCUAUUGUGACCAACUCAUGUGAUUUCUUGCAUAAUCCAGGAUAUAGAACUUCUCUGAAUUACUUCCUGCAUCAUGUCCAAUAGCUGUGGUUGUUAGCAUAGUUUACAAUUUACAGAGCUGAAAAGUCUUGUAAGGCAGUUUGAAAGCUGGCCAAAAGCUUAAGUCUCCUCACAGCUAAUAUGUAUUUUAUUUUUAAUAUAAACUUCUGUAGUUUUAACUUUCAGUGACUGGAGUUUUGUGUACCAGAGAAUCACUGAAGAGAUCACUGUUUCUCUGUAAUUGUCUCCAAACAUCCACUAUGACCAAAAUUUUCCCCAAGCUUGUCUUGGUACUUAUUUAAAACUAGUUAUGAGCUAUCUUAACCUUGCAAUGCUUCAAGUUGCUUUAAAAUUUUGUGCUCCAGGAAGUUUAUGUAUUUAGACUCAUGAAAACUCAGAAAUGAGUCAGUGCUUGGUCACAAACCAAUAUGUAAAGCAGGGAUAUGGUUGCACUCUUGAAUGAAUCAAGUUAGGUAUGUAAUUCCAGCUAGGUAACCCAGCAUGAGGUUUCAUUUCAAAUGCCUGAUCUGUGUCAGGCAUUUGUUCAUCCAUGACAAGCCCAUAAAUUGAUAACCUAAUUAAAUUAUUUAUCAAGACUGUGGAAUUGAUAUAUUUCUCCGGAUGCACUAACACUGCUCUUUAGAACUUCUCAGGAAACAGCUUGCUCUGAGUGAGAGAUUCCGAUUUAGAGGACACAAACACAGAGGAGUGUGGCUCCAGCUGCAUCUGGGAGAUCAUAAUCUGGCUGUAAAAGGCUGUGCCUGUGUCUUGUCAGUCCCUAGCUCAGUGGAACAGAGGAGAACCUUAGGAAUAUCCAAAUGCAGAGUCCUUGGACCUUAACACAGAGGGUCUUUCUGCUCCAUUAAUAUUCUCACUAGUCUGUCCUGAACACCAAGUCUACACAUCUCUCAGAAUCAGCUGCAACAGGUCAAAUGCAAGUCAUCGAAUGUCCUUAAACCUAUGUGCUAUUUUUCCAUUUCUUCUAAUAAGAAUUAUUUUAAUUUAGUAUGUUCAUAGUAUUCACAUGCCUUCUAAAUUUCUCUGAAUUAUUAUUACCCCUGAAAUAGUCAGGUUGCUUAUUUAUACAACUUUGUUUCUUGCUUCCUUACAUAUAGCCAUGCUGAAAUUGUAAGUCUGGAAAGCUGAUUUCUUGUAUUGAUUUUUUACAGUAACUAGACAGCUAUUGUAAGUGGCACACAGUAUCAGGUGUUUCUGUUACAGUUUAAAGGUUUUAAAAUAGUUUUUCUAUUCUUAAAGGUAAAACAAGCAAAGAUAAAUAUUAAAAUAACAACGGCCUAGUGGCACAAAAUUAAAGUAACUUCAUCUUCAAUAAAUUGAACUGGGAGCCAGAAGGGUGGCUGGCUUUAAUGUAGGCUAAUUCUUUGAGGAGAAUGUCUGACUUGAGUCAUCUAAAUGUAAGUGACAUUUAGAUAUGAGAUAACAACCUCCCAAAUGCCUUUCAGAAGCAGAGAACACCCUGAAGAUAUUUCAUAGCAUUUGCUUACUUUAAAUCAUUGUCAACCAGCAGUCCUCCUAGCUUAAACCAAUUCAAAUACAUGUCUAAUAGUUCAUAAUGAGCUGUUAGUGGGUAGUUACUUUCCAGGACUCUCCUUAACUGAUGUCACACCAAUUUGUAACAGGAGAGUCUACAAGAAUGAAAUGCAUGAUCACAGACCACUUCAUUUUCAUCAAUUAGCAACCAACACCAGAAUUAGACCUUAACAUGACUUGUGUCUAACGUUAGCCUGUCCUGGCAUUAUUUUGCUUGAGCUUUACAGUGGCAGGAAACCUGCUGAACAUGUUCCUAAGUUUUGCUCAAGAUAUGUCAUGCUCUUAGAAAGGAUAUGGUAUAAGCAUGUCUUUCCUGCUCCUGCCCGCAUUACCUUGCACCUCGCCUAUCAUCUGGUCCAAUGCUCCAGCAAAGCCCUUCCCAUGGCAUUUAUACAGCACAAAACUGGAUUCAUACAUUUGUACCUGGGGCCAUUCUGUGACCACUUGCUUGUGCAGCUGUAUAAUUGGGUGUCUUCACCAUGAGGCAUUCAUCUCUUUUUGAACCUGGGAUUUCUAACGAGUGAUCUGUUGAUAGAGUAAAUAAACCUAGGUAUUUUCUGUGACUCA